GACCCAGAUAAGUGAAGCCAGUAGCAACUUGCAGGGGUUUCUCAGCAGUCCAUUGAGGCAUUUGGGCUAGCUCCUUCAUUGAAUUUAUAUUUUGAAAAAUUCCAUAUUGAGGAAUUGCAAGGGAUAAACGGCAAUCCCCAUACUCAAGAGCAUCAUGAACAAGGAUAAGAUCUUCAUUCCCUUUUCCAUAUUCACUGACUGUAUCAAACCCCACAAUUCCAAGGUCCAAAUCUCC
This 235-nucleotide unclassified non-coding RNA is filed under the name Hevea brasiliensis (rubber tree). The record is from RNAcentral. Lineage: Eukaryota; Viridiplantae; Streptophyta; Magnoliopsida; Malpighiales; Euphorbiaceae.